RNAcentral lists this ribosomal RNA (492 nucleotides) under uncultured bacterium. Its description in RNAcentral is "partial 16S ribosomal RNA". It matches the Rfam family "Bacterial small subunit ribosomal RNA", at positions 29 to 507 of the family's 1533-position model. The record is from RNAcentral.
AGUGAACGCUGGCGGUAGGCCUAACACAUGCAAGUCGAACGGCAGCACAGUAAGAGCUUGCUCUUAUGGGUGGCGAGUGGCGGACGGGAGAGGAAUACAUCGGAAUCUACUUUUUCGUGGGGGAUAACGUAGGGAAACUUACGCUAAUACCGCAUACGACCUUCGGGUGAAAGCAGGGGAUCUUCGGACCUUGCGCGAUUGAAUGAGCCGAUGUCGGAUUAGCUAGUUGGCGGGGUAAAGGCCCACCAAGGCGACGAUCCGUAGCUGGUCUGAGAGGAUGAUCAGCCACACUGGAACUGAGACACGGUCCAGACUCCUACGGGAGGCAGCAGUGGGGAAUAUUGGACAAUGGGCGCAAGCCUGAUCCAGCCAUACCGCGUGGGUGAAGAAGGCCUUCGGGUUGUAAAGACCUUUUGUUGGGAAAGAAAAGCAGCAGGUUAAUACCCCGCUGUUCUGACGGUACCCAAAGAAUAAGCACCGGCUAACUUCGUG